AACUGAUCAUUAAUUUAACCUGUGAAGAGCAUUGUACGGAAGCAUCCGUGUUAUUUCUUUAGAAAAUUUGGUUGAAAGAAACCCAAAUUUCUAACAUGGAAACGUUGUAAAAAUGGGUCAAAUUUGACCGG
Long non-coding RNA from Etheostoma spectabile (orangethroat darter), 131 nucleotides. RefSeq lists it as uncharacterized. NCBI's taxonomy places the organism in Eukaryota, Metazoa, Chordata, Actinopteri, Perciformes, Percidae. The record is from RefSeq and is a predicted model, not a curated record. The transcript is spliced from 3 exons.